CUGCACCCCUCAAAGAAAGAUCAGAACACCAUUAUUUUUUCCAGUUCUUUUACAAGUUGGUUUUGUAAAUAAAAUUAAUUUAUUCUACAGCACAUUAAAACUUUUUUUCACAUUUUAAAAAAUCGUAUUUACAAAUUAACAUUUCAUUUUGUAAUUGCGGCUCCUUCAGUCCUCAUUUUCUUCCUUCGUUCUGAUUGGCACAGAAGAAAUCAAUAUGGACAAGGGUGCAAUUCCAGCCAUGGUUCUCCAUGGAGAAGGGCCCAGCAGUGGACUAUAGCUCUUCCGGACAUCGAUAAUCCAUUUCUUGAGGGGUGGUGGUGGAGCAGGUAUGAGGUUAUCUACAAAGGUUCCCUCCUUGCUUUUGUAUUACACUGUACCAAGUGUCCCUGUUGCAAAAAAAAUUCCCAGUAUGUUACAUCCCCGCACAAUAAGGCUGCAAUGCCUUCAUUUAUAGACAUAAAGACAGGUCCUGGAUUUGAAAGUCAAGAGGAAUUUAUCUCAUAGGAUGGCGGUUUGUGUCCAUGACUUGCUGCUCUAAAAGGUGCUACUGAUCAAAUGCCAUAAUUCAGAACUUUCUUUAAAUGAAGAGGUGCAAUCAGCAGCUGCCCAUGACAACUGUUCCUGGUGAAGAAUGGAAAGGCACCACUUCCGUCAAGAGUUUCCCAGAAAUCUUAAAGAAAACUAUGGAAACAGGUAGGUGGUAAGGCUACCAACUGAGAACCGGUCCCAAGAAAACAAACAGGCAAGGUGGUUUUGCAUUCUGCAUUCAAAGCUCUCAUAGUUGUGGCCUAAGAAACACUGAUGGGACAAGUAGUUGUUCUUCAACGUGGGACAAAUGUAAGAUCACCUACAAAUUAGGAACAACUUUGGCCAAUUUAACACAAAUUACUCAUUUGGAAACUCCCUUUAGUGCAACAUCUUUACUGAACGUGCUCAUGUAAUAUUGAUAGGAAUUAUUUAGGUUUAUAGUUAAACUAAUAUUAAUAUUUGAAGUCCAUCUUCUAAUUUGACCCUAUUAUAACUAUGUCUUUUCCUUCCUUCCUUAUAACAGGAACUUUUUUUUUUAGUCAACGGAAUGAAUACCUCACAUCUGGAAUUACUGCUUUCAUACACAAUUAUCAGUUGGGCAUGUUUUGAAACCACAGUACUGCUGUUACCUUGCCAAGCUGAUCUGAUAGGUGAGUGACAAUGUGGCAGGCUAAUAAGAGCAAACCCUUCUUUAAGAGUGGCUGCUAAGUGACACAUCUCUCCAAUCUCCCUGGUUUAGACUGCAAUCCCAAUCAGACUCAGUGGAAGCAAGGGUCAAGUGAACAUAGCAAGGCUUCUUUUCAAGUAAACAUAAACAGGAUUGCACUAGAGUUGUGUUGCAAACCCAACACAGUAGUUUCUUCAGUUUCAGUAUUUACACACAGGUGCUGGAACAGUGCAGGGACCACCCCCCUCCCUUAUCUCCAACAUCCCACUUGAUUUUGAUUCUGGGUUGAUGUGUAGCUUAGCUAGUAGUUUGGGGGGGGGAAGAGCAAGGGAGGGGAGAGAUGACAGAGGUGUAUAAAAUUAUAUAUGGCAUGGAGAAAGUGGAUAAAGGAAGGUUUUUGUCCCUCUUGCCUACCCACCAGGGCCAUCCAUGAAACUGAAGGGUGGCAGAUUGAGGACAGAGAAAAGGAAGUACCGUAUUUCUUUGCUCUAUAAGACGUACCAGACCACAAGACACACCUAGUUUUUGGAGGAG
Molecule: non-coding RNA, 1729 nt
Organism: Podarcis lilfordi (Lilford's wall lizard)
Lineage: Eukaryota; Metazoa; Chordata; Lepidosauria; Squamata; Lacertidae
Source: the annotation of a GenBank genome assembly